CUGACCGAGCAUGCAGAAGUCGGCUACGUGCGUUUCCGCCGGCGCACCGCGCAUAUCGAACGCACACACGCGCUCUCUACGCUAAAACAGUGAUCGCAGGUACGAUGGACGUAAGCUGCAGUACGCGACAUACGAGGGGCUCGAGGGUUGGCUGAAGCAAAGUCCUUGCCACCUUGUUGCUGGAUUCAGGUGCUUUACAGACUCCCAAACUUCUUUUGACCAAACAUUUAGAUACGUCGAAAGGAGUCGCAUCACAAGAGAGAAAUUCUGCGGGGAAGCUGUUUUUUUUUCAAUUUCAUCCUGAAUGAAAUAAACGAAACAGAAAUUUUCAA
Molecule: non-coding RNA, 332 nt
Organism: Dermacentor andersoni
Lineage: Eukaryota; Metazoa; Arthropoda; Arachnida; Ixodida; Ixodidae
Source: RefSeq, a predicted model, not a curated record